CCGACCUUAGCUCAGUUGGUAGAGCGGAGGACUGUAGAUCCUUAGGUCGCUGGUUUAAAUUCGGCAGGUCGGA
RNAcentral lists this transfer RNA (73 nucleotides) under Zingiber officinale. RNAcentral's name for it is "tRNA-Tyr". It matches the Rfam family "tRNA". Rfam says of the family: Transfer RNA (tRNA) molecules are approximately 80 nucleotides in length. Their secondary structure includes four short double-helical elements and three loops (D, anti-codon, and T loops). Further hydrogen bonds mediate the characteristic L-shaped molecular structure. tRNAs have two regions of fundamental functional importance: the anti-codon, which is responsible for specific mRNA codon recognition, and the 3' end, to which the tRNAs corresponding amino acid is attached (by aminoacyl-tRNA synthetases). tRNAs cope with the degeneracy of the genetic code in two manners: having more than one tRNA (with a specific anti-codon) for a particular amino acid; and 'wobble' base-pairing, i.e. permitting non-standard base-pairing at the 3rd anti-codon position. Lineage: Eukaryota; Viridiplantae; Streptophyta; Magnoliopsida; Zingiberales; Zingiberaceae. The record is from RNAcentral.